ACGCUCGACACCUACGGGGAGGCAGCAGUCGGGAAUAUUGCGCAAUGGAGGAAACUCUGACGCAGUGACGCCGCGUGCAGGAAGAAGGUUUUCGGAUUGUAAACUGCUUUAGACAGGGAAGAAAGAAAUGACAGUACCUGUAGAAUAAGCUCCGGCUAACUACGUGCCACAGCCGCGGUAAUCUGAGGCGGGCUGGCAAGGC
RNAcentral lists this ribosomal RNA (202 nucleotides) under uncultured bacterium. RNAcentral's name for it is "partial 16S ribosomal RNA". It matches the Rfam family "Bacterial small subunit ribosomal RNA", at positions 328 to 539 of the family's 1533-position model. The record is from RNAcentral.